UUUCCGGUUGAUCCUGCCGGAGGCCUUUGCUAGUAACACGUGGCCAAGCUACCCUGCAGAGGGGGACAGCGUCGGGAAACUGACGGGAAUCCCCCAUACCGGUCUCACGCUGGAAUGCCGAGACCGACAAACGCUCCGGCGCUGCAGGAUGCGGCUGCGGCCGAUUAGGUAGUCGGUGGGGUAACGGCCCACCGAGCCGAUAAUUGGUACGGGGUGUGAGAGCACGAGCCCGGAGACGGAAUCUGAGACAAGAUUCCGGGCCCUACGGGGCGCAGCAGGCGCGAAACCUUUACACUGCACGAAGGUGCGAUAAGGGGACUCCGAGUGCGAGGGCAUAUCGUCCUCGCUAUUGUGUACCGUAGGGUGGUACACGACCAAGAGCUGGGCAAGACCGGUGCCAGCCGCCGCGGUAAUACCGGCAGCUCGAGUGAUGGCCGAUUUUAUUGGGCCUAAAGCGUCCGUAGCUGGCCCUGCAAGUCCGUCGGGAAAUCCACUCGCCUAACGAGUGGGCGUCCGGCGGAAACUAUAGGGCUUGGGACCGGAAGACUUGAGGGGUACGUCUGGGGUAGGAGUGAAAUCCUGUAAUCCUGAACGGACCGCCGAUGGCGAAAGCACCUCAAGACGACGGAUCCGACAGUGAGGGACGAAAGCUAGGGUCUCGAACCGGAUUAGAUACCCGGGUAGUCCUAGCCGUAAACGAUGUUCGCUAGAUGUGGCACAGGCUACGUGCCUGUGCUGUGUCGUAGGGAAUCCCAAAAGCCCACCGCCUGUGAAGUCAUCCGCAAGUAUGAAACUUAUUGGAAUUGGCGGGGGAGCACUACAACCGGAGGAGCCUGCGGUUUAAUUGGAUUCUCGCCGGA
This 860-nucleotide ribosomal RNA is filed under the name uncultured archaeon. Its description in RNAcentral is "bacterial SSU rRNA". It matches the Rfam family "Archaeal small subunit ribosomal RNA", at positions 59 to 922 of the family's 1478-position model. The record is from RNAcentral.